This 229-nucleotide ribosomal RNA is filed under the name uncultured bacterium. Its description in RNAcentral is "partial 16S ribosomal RNA". It matches the Rfam family "Bacterial small subunit ribosomal RNA", at positions 568 to 796 of the family's 1533-position model. The record is from RNAcentral.
UGCGUAGGCGGACUAAUAAGUCAGUGGUGAAAUCCUGCGGCUCAACCGUAGAACUGCCAUUGAUACUGAUAUUCUUGAAUGUAGUUGAGGUAGGCGGAAUGUGUAAUGUAGCGGUGAAAUGCUUAGAUAUUACACAGAACACCGAUUGCGAAGGCAGCUUACUAAACUAUGAUUGACGCUGAGGCACGAAAGCGUGGGGAGCGAACAGGAUUAGAUACCCUGGUAGUCC